GGGGAUGACAAGUUUCGAUAAGGGUUAUUCUUGCCGAUUUGCAAGUAGAGAUGCAGAACCUCUUAAAACUUCUGCACAUCAAAUAAGUGCAAACAAACAACCUGCACUAGCUUACGCCUAAUUAAGCUGUAAGCCAUCGCCGCGCCUACGCCCGUGAUAGCGCGCGCGGUGCCAACUUUACGGGCUCGCUUAUUGCAUUGUUCGAUGUAAUACGUUAAAACAUAGAACUCGGCUCUUCAGUAUUUUGGAUAUUUUUAAGCUUAAGAGCUUAAAUGUUAAAAUAACCUAAACUUGUAGAGUAAUCGCGUAAGAUAUCCUUAGACGCGGGUUCAACUCCCGCCAUCUCCACCU
RNAcentral lists this transfer-messenger RNA (351 nucleotides) under Candidatus Spechtbacteria bacterium RIFCSPLOWO2_01_FULL_46_10. It matches the Rfam family "transfer-messenger RNA". Rfam says of the family: Bacterial tmRNA, also known as 10Sa RNA or SsrA, is named for its dual tRNA and mRNA-like properties. Its role is to liberate the mRNA from a stalled ribosome. To accomplish this part of the tmRNA is used as a reading frame that ends in a translation stop signal. Lineage: Bacteria; Candidatus Spechtiibacteriota. The record is from RNAcentral. RNAcentral also lists the same sequence under 1 other name.